RNAcentral lists this ribosomal RNA (524 nucleotides) under uncultured bacterium. RNAcentral describes it as "bacterial SSU rRNA". It matches the Rfam family "Bacterial small subunit ribosomal RNA", at positions 262 to 803 of the family's 1533-position model. The record is from RNAcentral.
GGCCUACCAAGGCGACGAUCAGUAGCCGACCUGAGAGGGUGACCGGCCACAUUGGGACUGAGACACGGCCCAAACUCCUACGGGAGGCAGCAGUGGGGAAUAUUGCACAAUGGGGGAAACCCUGAUGCAGCGACGCCGCGUGAAGGAAGAAGUAUUUCGGUAUGUAAACUUCUAUCAGCAGGGAAGAAAAUGACGGUACCUGAGUAAGAAGCCCCGGCUAAAUACGUGCCAGCAGCCGCGGUAAUACGUAUGGUGCAAGCGUUAUCCGGAUUUACUGGGUGUAAAGGGAGCGUAGACGGAUAGGCAAGUCUGGAGUGAAAACCCAGGGCUCAACCCUGGGACUGCUUUGGAAACUGCAGAUCUGGAGUGCCGGAGAGGUAAGCGGAAUUCCUAGUGUAGCGGUGAAAUGCGUAGAUAUUAGGAGGAACACCAGUGGCGAAGGCGGCUUACUGGACGGUGACUGACGUUGAGGCUCGAAAGCGUGGGGAGCAAACAGGAUUAGAUACCCUGGUAGUCCACGCCGU